This is a long non-coding RNA of Meleagris gallopavo (turkey), 1312 nucleotides long. NCBI's taxonomy places the organism in Eukaryota, Metazoa, Chordata, Aves, Galliformes, Phasianidae. The record is from Ensembl.
AUGACACUCAGCCAUGAACUCGAGAGAAUGCACCGCCUGCAGCUCUGUGCAAUCCUGGCUGCCUCUUUCCUAGCAGAGAGAGAGGGUGCCUUGAUGCUCUGCCCCUAUAGUGACUUACUGAAUGGACAGAGGAUAAGGCUUGGUAUUUUACAGUGAAGCAAGAAGGACAGGCUCAUAUUCUACACACAGCACUGUACCUGGAGAAACAGCAGUGGCCUUCUUUUCUUAAACAGUGACUUACUGCUUUCUAGGAAAGCAAAGAGGUUGCUGCGGCAAUUAAAGAAGCAAUCACAGUGGAUAUUUACCCUAUUGAGGACAAUAUAUCAAUUCUCUUGGUCAAACAUACCGACUGUAUAAAUAAUAUAAAGAGAAAAUGGGUUUUGAAAAUAAAAUAUUACUUAACAAGUGCAUUUAUAUUUUAAUCUAGUUCUGUUAAUUCAGUAGUUUCAAAAAGGCAUAUUUGAAUUGGAGGCUCUAAUAGUUUUUCAUGUUGAAUAACACGGUAAUGGGAUUUUUCUACAUUCUGUACACAUGAGGAACAUUCUAAAAUGUGUUGCCACAAUUACAAAGUAGCAGUGUGCAUGCUAUUUAAUGUGAGCAUGGGAAUAAAGCUGGUUUUAGCCAUUUGGUUUAAAACAAUCAUAAAUAGCCAUUUUAACAUAAUGAUUCCAGUAUAAAAUGCUUUGCUUUAAUUUCAAGGAUUCUAGUGGGGAAAACAUAAUAUUCUGAGGACUAAUUUAAUUUAAAUUAGGACUACUGUGAAAGUCAGGUUCUGACUUAAUGGCAAUUAAAUAAAGUUUGAGGUUGGGUCUUCUGUUUUGUUCUGACACAAAUAUGUCUCAAAAAGUAAAUUAAUAUAAAUAUAUAUAAAUUUAAAUAUGCCAUCAGGAAUAAUUGGAGAGUCAGUAGGUGAUUUUCUUGAGUUUUUGCUGAUGUUUUGCCAAUCUCAUCAAGAAUUCCUAAAGAAGAACAAAAUGGCACUUUACCUUCUGGACAGCUAGAUGUUUGUCUUUGCUGCGAUGCAAAAUGUUGCAAUUCCAUUCAAAGAGAGAAGAUUAGAGUAACUAGAAAAUAUGAUAAAACAGUUCACAAUGGUAGCUACUCAUUUCACACAUCAAGGAGUCUAGACUCAUUUGGUACACAGAGACUAACAAACAGGGAUCCCCUUAACCAUGAUAAAGGUCAUUCAUGAAGAGCAAACACUUUCUUAUCAGCGCUACAAAUUUUCAUGAAGGUGUUAACACAGAUAACUUCUUAAAAUUACUCAAAAUUAAUGCAACGUCAAUUAAUUGCUCUACACCUUAAGCCUAAU